Molecule: ribosomal RNA, 253 nt
Filed under: uncultured bacterium
Lineage: Bacteria
Description: partial 16S ribosomal RNA
Rfam family: Bacterial small subunit ribosomal RNA
Source: RNAcentral
UACAGAGGGGGCAAGCGUUGUUCGGAAUUACUGGGCGUAAAGGGCGCGUAGGCGGCCAACUAAGUCGGACGUGAAAUCCCCGGGCUCAACCCGGGAACUGCGUCCGAUACUGGAUGGCUUGAAUCCGGGAGAGGGAUGUGGAAUUCCAGGUGUAGCGGUGAAAUGCGUAGAUAUCUGGAGGAAUACCGGUGGCGAACGCGGCAUCCUGGACCAUUACUGACGCUGAGGCGCGAAAGCUAGGGGAGCAAACAGG